Molecule: ribosomal RNA, 492 nt
Filed under: uncultured bacterium
Lineage: Bacteria
Description: partial 16S ribosomal RNA
Rfam family: Bacterial small subunit ribosomal RNA
Source: RNAcentral
AGUGAACGCUGGUGGUAGGCCUAACACAUGCAAGUCGAACGGCAGCACAGUAAGAGCUUGCUCUUACGGGUGGCGAGUGGCGGACGGGUGAGGAAUACAUCGGAAUCUACUUUUUCGUGGGGGAUAACGUAGGGAAACUUACGCUAAUACCGCAUACGACCUACGGGUGAAAGCAGGGGAUCUUCGGACCUUGCGCGAUUGAAUGAGCCGAUGUCGGAUUAGCUAGUUGGCGGGGUAAAGGCCCACCAACGCGACGAUCCGUAGCUGGUCUGAGAGGAUGAUCAGCCACACUGGAACUGAGACACGGUCCAGACUCCUACGGGAGGCAGCAGUGGGGAAUAUUGGACAAUGGGCGCAAGCCUGAUCCAGCCAUACCGCGUGGGUGAAGAAGGCCUUCGGGUUGUAAAGCCCUUUUGUUGGGAAAGAAAAGCAGCAGGUUAAUACCCCGCUGUUCUGACGGUACCCAAAGAAUAAGCACCGGCUAACUUCGUG